AAACAACUUGGAAGCACCCAACAACAAAUAUACCAAUGGUACUUGAAGAAGAACCUCCACUGAUAAUCUUAAAACAUAGAGAUGGGAUUAUCAAAAGACAUUCUCUUAGACUAUCCUAAUUCAUAGACAGAACAUAUGAAGGUUAAUGGAGAUCAAUUUAGAAGGAUACUGAAAUGAAAAAGCUGGUAACAAUAAAGAAACACCACUGCUGAUCCAGAGGCUUGCAGCAGUUGC
Sceloporus undulatus (fence lizard) is the source of this 234-nucleotide long non-coding RNA. RefSeq lists it as uncharacterized. The record is from RefSeq and is a predicted model, not a curated record. The transcript has 3 exons. NCBI's taxonomy places the organism in Eukaryota, Metazoa, Chordata, Lepidosauria, Squamata, Phrynosomatidae.